RNAcentral lists this ribosomal RNA (425 nucleotides) under uncultured bacterium. RNAcentral describes it as "partial 16S ribosomal RNA". It matches the Rfam family "Bacterial small subunit ribosomal RNA", at positions 354 to 796 of the family's 1533-position model. The record is from RNAcentral.
GUGGGGAAUAUUGGACAAUGGGGGCAACCCUGAUCCAGCCAUGCCGCGUGAAUGAUGAAGGCCUUCGGGUUGUAAAGUUCUUUUGGAGGGGACGAUGAUGACGGUACCCUCAGAAUAAGCUCCGGCUAACUUCGUGCCAGCAGCCGCGGUAAUACGAAGGGAGCUAGCGUUGUUCGGAAUUACUGGGCGUAAAGGGCGCGUAGGCGGUUUGGUUAGUCAGAUGUGAAAGCCCAGGGCUUAACCCUGGAACUGCGUUUGAUACUGCCAAGCUUGAAUUCGGGAGAGGUGAGUGGAAUUCCCAGUGUAGAGGUGAAAUUCGUAGAUAUUGGGAAGAACACCGGUGGCGAAGGCGGCUUGCUGGACAGUAACUGACGUUGAGGCUCGAAAGCGUGGGGAGCAAACAGGAUUAGAUACCCGGGUAGUCC